RNAcentral lists this ribosomal RNA (490 nucleotides) under uncultured bacterium. Its description in RNAcentral is "partial 16S ribosomal RNA". It matches the Rfam family "Bacterial small subunit ribosomal RNA", at positions 30 to 507 of the family's 1533-position model. The record is from RNAcentral.
UGAACGCUGGCGGUAGGCCUAACACAUGCAAGUCGAACGGCAGCACAGUAAGAGCUUGCUCUUACGGGUGGCGAGUGGCGGACGGGUGAGGAAUACAUCGGAAUCUACUUUUUCGUGGGGGAUAACGUAGGGAAACUUACGCUAAUACCGCAUACGACCUACGGGUGAAAGCAGGGGAUCUUCGGACCUUGCGCGAUUGAAUGAGCCGAUGUCUGAUUAGCUAGUUGGCGGGGUAAAGGCCCACCAAGGCGACGAUCCGUAGCUGGUCUGAGAGGAUGAUCAGCCACACUGGAACUGAGACACGGUCCAGACUCCUACGGGAGGCAGCAGUGGGGAAUAUUGGACAAUGGGCGCAAGCCUGAUCCAGCCAUACCGCGUGGGUGAAGAAGGCCUUCGGGUUGUAAAGCCCUUUUGUUGGGAAAGAAAAGCAGCAGGUUAAUACCCCGCUGUUCUGACGGUACCCAAAGAAUAAGCACCGGCUAACUUCGUG